GUUUUGAUAAUUUAAAUUUUAAAAUAUUGGUCUUGUAAACCAAAAAUAAUUAACUUUUCAAAACA
Molecule: transfer RNA, 65 nt
Filed under: Nacerdes carniolica
Lineage: Eukaryota; Metazoa; Arthropoda; Insecta; Coleoptera; Oedemeridae
Description: tRNA-Thr
Rfam family: tRNA
About the family: Transfer RNA (tRNA) molecules are approximately 80 nucleotides in length. Their secondary structure includes four short double-helical elements and three loops (D, anti-codon, and T loops).
Source: RNAcentral